AUAGAUAUGGUGAUAUGUCUCCACAAACAUCAAUGGGAAGAAUUGUUGGUAGUUUAUGUGCUAUAAUGGGAGUUUUAACAAUAGCAUUACCUGUACCAGUUAUUGUGUCUAAU
RNAcentral lists this small RNA (113 nucleotides) under Strongyloides ratti. RNAcentral's name for it is "sRNA SRAE_2000600130". It matches the Rfam family "Potassium channel RNA editing signal". Rfam says of the family: This family represents a group of sequences related to the human potassium channel Kv1.1 hairpin element which directs the efficient modification of an adenosine to inosine by an adenosine deaminase acting on RNA (ADAR). The ADAR modification causes an isoleucine/valine recoding event which lies in the ion-conducting pore of the potassium channel. The record is from RNAcentral. Lineage: Eukaryota; Metazoa; Nematoda; Chromadorea; Rhabditida; Strongyloididae.